CAGCAGCCGCGGUAAUACGGAGGGUGCGAGCGUUAAUCGGAAUUACUGGGCGUAAAGCGUACGCAGGCGGUUUGUUAAGUCAGAUGUGAAAGCCCCGGGCUCAACCUGGGAAUGGCAAUGGAUACUGGCGAGCUAGAGUGUGUCAGAGGAUGGUGGAAUUCCCGGUGUAGCGAUGAAAUGCGUAGAGAUCGGGAGGAACAUCAGUGGCGAAGGCGGCCAUCUGGGACAACGCUGACGCUGAGGCACGAAAGCGUGGGGAGCAAACAGGAUUAGAUACCCCCGUAGUCCCUGUCUCUUAUAC
This 301-nucleotide ribosomal RNA is filed under the name uncultured bacterium. RNAcentral describes it as "partial 16S ribosomal RNA". It matches the Rfam family "Bacterial small subunit ribosomal RNA", at positions 509 to 807 of the family's 1533-position model. The record is from RNAcentral.